This 13592-nucleotide long non-coding RNA is filed under the name Manihot esculenta (cassava). Its description in RNAcentral is "long non-coding RNA (MESC_LNC000372)". The record is from RNAcentral. Lineage: Eukaryota; Viridiplantae; Streptophyta; Magnoliopsida; Malpighiales; Euphorbiaceae.
GGAGAGCGAUGACCGACGCAGACGAUUGCGUGGAGAGUGACGACCGACGACGACGAUUGUGUGGAGAGAGAGACUAGAGAGAGACAGUGAGGUGAGGAGGAGUCGGCGACUCGGCGUUGCUAAGUGGCGCAUCCGCAACGUAGUGAAGAUCGAUGACCCGAGUUAGCCGCGAUGGUUAAUCGGUCGAUGUUGGGAGGAGAGUGGAGGUUGGACGGUGGACAGUGAACCCGUUAAAAGUGGUAGAACUCAGUGCUCAGAGAAGAGGCACAAGCAUGUGUGACGUGAGGCGGCGUGGAAUGGAGAUUAGCGUCUCUACUCAGUGGCACUGCUUUUAGAUUUAGGGCAAAUAAGGGUACAUUUCAAAACGACGUAGUAUUAGUAUAGGUGAUUUCAUUUCGGUUCGGUCUAAUCGAAAUUUUUGAAUCUAAAACCGAACCGAAUUAAAAAUAAAACUAAACCAAAUUUUCAAAAUUAAUCGGUUCGAUCAGUUAUUUCGGUUUAAACCGAAUACUGCUCACCCCUAACUAUACCCGUGAAUAUUCUCUAGCAUUGUCUUUUAUGUAAAUUAUUAUGUUAAAAAUGAAUUUGAAGCAAUUACAUAAAAUCACAUAUUAAGAUGAAUUAAAUUAACCAGAAGUUCAAUUUUCUUUAGUAAUGAAUUCUUCACCUAAUAUUUUAUAUAAAAAAAAGAUUACAUAUUUAUUUCAAAAUAUAAACAAUAUUAAAAAAUCAAAAUAAGUUUUGACUUAAUUAGUAAUAGAGUUUAGUUAAAAUCAUAAUAGGUAUAUACAAAAUACAAAAAGAUUUCUUGUAUUAUUUCAUUCCGUCUAACUGUACAAUAAAAAGUCCGACUUCACAUUAGACUCCCAUCACUGCUAGGCGGAUUUCUUAAAAAUCAAAGUAGAUCUUUUCGAAUCACGUAAGAUUUUGUUUGAAUAAUGAUUGAACGUGUAGUAGAGUUGACCGCCAUGACGCAUAUGAUGGAUAAAAUAUACGCAUAUGAUGGAUAAGAUAUAAAUCAAGUGGUUAAUAUUUAUAAGUCGAGUAUAUUUUAGUCUUAUUGAUUUACUGCACACAACUCCUUCUUUAAAUUUCAAAAUCUAUGACUAAAGUUUUCCUUCAUUAAUCUUCAAUCAUCUAAUCAGAUUUAUUAACUUUUUCGUAAAUCAAACCUCUUUAUCUGUACAGUAAACUUACUGAAUCUGAAAUCAUCAGUUAACCUUUUUGUUAUAACAAAAAUUUAAAAUGAUAUAUGUACAUAUACAUUCCCUACUAAAAUACAUUUUCCACAUCCAAUUAUCUAUGCUGGGACCUUCAAAUGCUAUUAUUUGUUAAGUAUCAUUACAAUGUUUUGAGUUCUUGUUAAUAAUUAGGAAUUCUCAUUAUCAAAUUUCUGAAAUUUGAAGAAAUUUGCUAAUUUAUUUUUAUUUUAAAUUUAACAUUUCUAUAAUUAUUUAAUUUAUUUUAGUUUUUAAUUAAAAGAAUUAAAUUAAUAAUAUAAAUAUUUAAAACCGCUAAUAUUUUUAUAAGAGAAAGAAAUAUUUGAAUUUUAUAAAAUAUAAAAAUAUUUUAAUUAAAUAAAUUGUAAAAAAUGAAAUAAUAAAUUUCUUACCAUGACUUAAUGGUAAUUCACCUAUCAAUAGUAUCAUCCGUUAUGGCAUGGGUGCUAGUGCCACUGUUUUGGAAAUCGUGAUUAACCAGAACAUGGCUCUAAUGAUUAAUCCACGUGCCAAUCAAUUCUCAAAAAUUACUCUCUGUACAUUGUAUCAAAUAAUGGGGGUUAUUAUCAACUCAAUUUUAUAUUUAAAUUUUAAUAUUAUCAUUAAAUUAAAAAUUUACAUAUAAAUUUAUAUAUUUAUUAUAUAUACAUAAAUAUCUAAUUUAAUUAUUAUAAAACUUUUUUUCUUUGAAGAUAUAAAAUUUAUUAAUAAAGGCAAUAUUAAAUUAUAUAUUUGUGUCCUAUAAUAAAUUUAUUAUAAUGUUAGAUAUUUGUGUGUAUAUAAUAAAUUACAUAAUUAUUAUAAAAAUGAAGAUAUAGUUUUUUUUAUUAAUAAAUGCAAUAUAAAAUUUAUUCUUCUUAAUAAUUAAAAUUUAAUUAAUAAAUUACUAAAAAAAGUAGUCCUUUUACCUUUUGAAAUUACUCUUAUUUAACUUUUUCUUUCGUCUUUUAAUAGGGCACUUUAUUUUUGAGAUGGUAAUUUUUAUUAAGUUUUUAAUAUAUACUUAUUUAAAAUAUGUUAUGAUUUAAUCUCCAAAACGAGGUAGCAUUAAGGUAUAUGAGUAAACUUUGUUUCUAUUUUCUGUAUGUAUUUUUUUUAUUUUUUUUAUUAUUUUGUGAUGAAUAACUGUCGUCUGCAGAAUUAUAUGUAUGAAUGUACGGUCCUUUCCUCUACUGUCAGGCGAUUUAUCUUAAUAUGAUUUCAAAUGUAUGAGAUUUACUGUUUCGUAGAUUUAAAUGAUCGAUCAAAUCGAAUUUUUUUUUAUUGGAUUCAAGUCCUAUUCAAACUCAAUUUUUAAUAAAUGAUAUAUAUAUAUAUAUAUUUGAAUUCAAACUCAAUUUUUAUUAUUAAUUUUGAAUCUAUUUUAAAUUUGAUUAAAAAUUAAUUUAAAUUAUUUAAAUUUAUCUUAAAUACAAUUAUUACUAUCCAAACAAAAUUGAAAUUCGUCUAAUAUCAUAUAUUUUAAUUAAUAAUUUAUAUAAAAAAAUUUAUUUAAAAAAUCUAAUAAUUUUAAAAAAUAUUUAAUAUUUAAUUUUUAAAUAAAAACAUAUAAAAAAAUUUAUAGAUGAUAUUGUAAAUUAUAUUUUUAUAUUAAAUUAAUUAUUUAUAUAAAUAAUUUUAAUAAUAAAAAUUUACGAAAAAAAUUUGAAUUUAAAUCGUUACAGAUAUUGCUUUUCAAAUUCGAAUUGGCUGUAAAUAUUAUUUUUUAAAUUUAAAUAUAUUUUAAACUUAAUUAUAAUUUCACAUCUUGUCUUAUUAGAAUUCAGACCGAUCAGUUCCGGAAAAUACUCCACAUCCAUUGCCAUCUGUAAGAGAUACCGGUUAAUCUAGGCAUCAACCGAGAGAACAGGUGUCGAUAAUAUUCAGAGAGUGCAAAAUCGAAGAAGAAUCAUAAUAAUAUCAAGGCAUAUUAUUAAUUAGGGGAUGACAAUGGUUUCGGAAGUUAUCAUUUCAAACUUUGACACAAACACAAGACAUCAUCAUUAUCUUCCUUCAUUAAAUUGAAAUGAAUCAUAAAUAUGCAAACUGAUGUUUGAAAAUCUUUAACGUAAUUUUCUUUCCAAUGUCUCGUAACAUGUUACUUUUGUCUACAGAUGUCUGAUUAUUGAUUGAUCAACUGUAUGUACAUGUAAAUGAGUUAAAUAUAUUAUUAUAUACCUUUUCAUGCAUUGUUCUCAAAAUUAUAUAUUAGUCAUUAUCAAUUAUCACUGAUAAAUUAAAAAUUUUCUGUCUAAAAAAAUAAACCCAUCAAUUAAUACACAAAAAAUCUAUGAUACCAUAAAGAUCUGUAAUCCCAUAAGGAAGAAGAAGAAGAAAAACCAUUAACAGCAUUCAUCACCAUGAACAAACAAAGUGAAGAAAGUGAAGCUUAAUUAAUUCAUCACCAUGAUUAAUUAUCAUAUCAAACUCUUUGCUGAUUUUCGCAUUGCCUUUUAUUUUCUCUUCUUCUGUUUCCAAACACCAAGAAAACACUUGCAUGCAUAUUCAUAAGUAAUAGCAUUUCCUCACAAUUUCACAAUCUCACCACUGAGAAGUUAAAAGAAAGAAAGAAAAAAAAGGGUGUAGAAAUGGAAGAAAAGUAAUUAACAAACUGUCUUCAAAAGCCUGAACCAUUUUGCAAGCUCUAUAGAAAGAUCAAUAUGGGGAGAGAGACACCAUCAUAAUUCAUAAAUAAAAUCUUAGCGAGUCAUAGAGAUGAAGGGAAGGAGGAGAGUGCAGCUCCCAUACUUGAUGAAUUUGGUGCAAUUUCUUCUCCUCCAAGUGGUCCAUCAACAUUAUCCCAAAACAGAAAAUUUGAACAUUGUUGUGAGUCAACCCAUUCAUUGAGUUCUUGCCUCUGUAAGCAACCCAAUGCUAUCUCUCCUUCAUCAUCCAUGCUACAAGAUUGCAUUUCAAUGGGCACCAUGUUCUCCAUGUUCUCAAUCAAUGGAGGCAAGUAAUUAGUAUCCAUCCCAAUGCUGAAUGUAGCCUGUGGUGGAAGGAUUUGAACUUGGUGAUGAUGGUGCUGGUUUGUGUUCCAUGUUUCAGUGUUCAAGCUCGCAGGCUCGUUAAAAAACUCCCCUCGUACACUGUUGUCCGCAAUUCCAUCAAGUGGAGUAGUGCCAGUGUCGAACAUAAAUAAGGGAGCUGGAGAUGAAAAUAGGGUUUCUUGAACAUGAGGCCUUGUUGUCAAAUCUUGAUGCACUAAAUCUAUUUGGUUUGAGCCAUAAUUUAUAUGUGAAUGAUCGAUACCGCUACUUGUUGCAGCAACUGUAGUUGUAGAAGCUGAAGGCUUUCGUAUCUUCUUUUUGAUCCAUGAAUUCCAAUAGUUCUUUAUCUCAUUGUCUGUUCUUCCAGGCAAGUGACUUGCUAUAUGAGCCCAUCUGCAAUUCCAUGUAAAACAAAACAGAUCACAAGAAGAAGAGAGAAAUUUUCAGUGGAGCAGCGAUCUCCCAAGUGAACAAAAACCAAUUUCUUAUAACAAGGAAGAUCAUAAGCUGGUUCAAAAAAAUGUUCAGAAAUGUAUUGUACUUUCUGCUGAAAAUGUGUAUUGCAACCUCUGAUAUUUCCUUCUUAACGGCUACUACGGUACAGUUGAUAGCAGCUUAAGGAACUAUUUCUAAAUGGGGUUGCUUCUUGUGAAUAUUUAAUAGAAAAUUAAAGCAGUGAAACGCACGCCAUGACUUAAUUUUGAAGUUUGCUUUAAAAAAUUCAAGUUGAUAUCAACUCUCACUAUACCAGGUCUGAUUGCAAGCAACUUUCGAUCCCCUCCCUCCAACAAGGGGAAAAGAAAUCCAAGAUUAAGAAACAAGCCACAUGUGAUUCUUUUAGAAAUUUAUAUGCUAAGAGUUAAAUUAUAUUGGGACAAGUGAAGAACCCUAGAUUAUAAACAUACCCAGAUGGUGUAUACAUAUGGGAAUUCUGAGUUAAUUCACGACUUAUGUACUUCAAAUGUGAAAUGUAGUUUAAUUUUACAGUAAGCAUAAGAAAUUAAACCUGUUUCCAACAACGCCAUGAAGGUUAAUAAUCAACUUCUCCUCUUCUGGGGUAAAUCUUCCUCUUCUAAUAUCAGGCCUCAAAUAAUUAAUCCAACGCAAACGGCAGCUCUUUCCACAUCUUUGAAGCCCUAAAAUUGUUCAUGAAAAAAAAAUAAAAAUUAAACCUUCGUCUUCUAAUACCCAUCAAGAAAACAGCAAGUUCAAGAAAUAUGAUACACUUAAAAUAACAAAAAGGGUAAAAAAUGGUUAAAGAGACAGGAAGGGGGAAGAGAGAGAGAGAGAGGAAACCAGCUUUCUCUGGGACUUCACUCCAACAGCCAUAGCCAUGGGUAGUGAUGUAUCUAAUGAGCUUUUCAUCUUCCUCAGGCGACCAAAGGCCUCUCUUAACCUUCUGUUGGUUGCAGCAAGAAUGAUGACCCAUGCUAUGAUUUAUGAAGCUGAUGAUCUCUUAUUAAAUCACUUUAGUUUUCUCUCUCUCUCUCCUUUUUAUUUUGUUUCUUCCGAUUCUUGUUUGGUUAAGUGUUGAAACUAUAGAGCUAGCGUUGGCUAGGCAAGAAACUAUUGGCAUGUCUCUCCCCAUUUAAGAGUAGCACAAGUACAAAGGAGCCGACAUUGAAACAGGAUGGGGUCCAUGCAAGGGACCCAGAUUUUCAUCUAACCUAAAAACGACGUUUCAUCGGCUGUUUUUCACAAGUGUUACUAUUUUCUACGUAGACUUGUAUUACGUAACCAAAUUUUCACGUACCCUAACCUCUUUGCCGGUUGUUUCAAAGACCCCCUUCCUCUCUCUCUCUCUCUCAAUCAGCGGGGAAGGUUUUGCCAUCUUCUUCCUCUGUCCCAUCAAUUAAAUUAAACUCCAAUCAUAACCUGACACACGUCUACGUAUAUUCUUCGCAGAAAAUGAUUGAGAGAAAAUAUAUAAUAUAUAUAUAUAUGAGGAAUGAUUUUAGAAUUUUUUUUAUUUUUUUAUUUUGCUUUAGCUUUUAAUUUCCUUUUUAUGUGGCACGGUUAGAUACAUAAAUCGAAACUUGCAGAAAAAGUUUACUUGCUGCAGGUUGAUCUAAUCUGCGGCAAAACCUCUGAAAUGUCUAAACGUGGUUCAAAUAAUUAAUGCCCAUUUAUUCUGCUCUUUUGAUUCAUGAAUACCAAUAUUUUAAUUUCAUUGAUUUUUUUAAUUUUCAUAUUCAAAAUAAAAAAAGUAUACAUUUCAUUUAAAAGUAAAUUUUAUCUUAAAAAAAUUAAAAAAAUAAAAAUAUGUAUGAUUACGUGAUAAAAGAUUAAUUAGACGCUGUUAAAAAUUUUAAUUAAUAUCAUUUAAAUAAGUCGAUAUAAAAGAAAAAAUAGAUUAAAAGACGAAUAAUUUUAUUGAAAUUUUUUAAAAAUUGUAAAAGUAAGUUUUUAAUAGUUAAGGGAGACUGUUUAUAAUAUAAAUAAAAUUUUAAUAUAUAAAAUUAUAAAAAUAUUUAAAAUAUUUAAAAAAAAUUAAAAUAUAAAAUUGAUUUCUAGAUAAAAUUUUUAUAUGGAAUUUUGUGAUAGACCAGCUAUUCUCAUCAUACUUUUGAAAGUCGUGUAUUUCAAAAAUUUUUUUAAAAAAAAUUAUCAUGAAUUUCUAUUAAACAUCGAUCGUCAAAAUUAAGUCUGAUUGAAAUGUGCCGUCCAUGUUAUUAUAUAAAAACUAUUAUGCUUUCUAAUUGUUUUCCAUUAUAUAAUGGAAAAAAGGGUUUCAAUUUUUUUUUUUAAAAAAAAGCUUCUCCCUAGAAAAAUCAUUUUAAAAAAUAGAGAAAAAUCGAUCAGAGACCUCAAAUUAAUGUAUAGCUUAAUUAUUAUUUAAGUGAAGAAACAAGUUAGAUUACAGAUGUUAUUGUACUUUCUUAUCGUCUUUCUUCAUAAUGUGAAUAGAAAAAGAAGAAAUCAUUCUCUAUAAUAACUAAUAAUGAGAGGUUUCUUGAUUUUUUUAUUUUCUAACGAUCAUUAAGGACCACAUAUUUAUUUAAUUAUUUAUUAUUUUGGAAUAAUCCUCCUUCAUUGAUAACUUUAAGGUAUUGAUAAAAAUUCCCCCAUCAUGUCCGUAAGAGCUUAUGUAUUUGCAUUUUAGAUACAAAUCUGAAGAUAUUUUUUCGUAAUUAUAUUCAUUUAUUCAUUAUAUAUGAUAAUCCUACUAUAAAAUGGAUUUAAUGCCACGGUUAUAAAUUGCUGCGGGCCACCCUUGGCAAUAAUUCAAGGAUCGUUAUAUGUAUUUGCACAAUUAUAACAUAGGGUUUACAGCUAUCUAUUUUCGUAGUAGAUAAAUCACUCUUAAAAUUAUAAUUUUAUUAAAUAUAUAUUUAUGAAAGUAGGUUUAAGGUAACGACGAUAAAUUAUUAUUUUAUAUAAUUUAAUUCUAAUUAUAGAUUAAUAAAUUCAUUGCAUUUAUCUCGAUGAUUAUUAUAAAAUAACAAUUUAAUUUUUUGACAGCGAAUAAAAAUGUGACUAUAAUUAUAAUUUUAUUAAAUUUAAAGUAAAUUUUUUAUAAUUAUAGUAAAAAGAUGAUUUUUUUUUUUUUGUAAUAAUUUUAACUGUUGUCUUAAUAAUAUUAAAACAACAAUUUUACAACCCCACAGUUAAAAUAUGAUUACCUAAAAACUAAAAUAUAUGUGGGUUAAAAGCCAUUUAUCAAAAAAGCAAGUGUCUCUCUAUAGUCACUUUGUGACUCGAUACUCUCGCCUUUUUCUUUUUCUUAAAUCUAACUUUUUCUUUCCCUUUAUCCAUGGAAGACGAUCUGCGACGAUCUGCGACGAUCUGCGUCAAUUAAUUAUCGAUGAAGAAAAAAAUGUUGUUGUCCCUAUUAAGAGUUUCAAAAAUAUUCCGAUCGUCACUUAUGAUUUUUGUAUGGUGGGGAUGUUUUUCACAUAUAAUCCAAUCAAUUUUCAGAAUAUGCAGACCUUUUUGGCAGAUCUAUGGCGGCAAUCCACGAACAGUUAUUGCAUUGAAGGAUUUGGUUCCUAAUUACAAGCCGGACAUUUUAUUUUUUAUAGAAACAAAAACUCUUAGUUCUCGUAUGGAACUUUUUUGUAAUUUUUUACAUUUUGAUAGUUGCUUCUCAGUCAAUAGAUAAGGAUUGGGAGGAGACCUUUCGUUAAUAUGGAAGAGUCAUGAGUCUGUUUCUGUAGUUGGCUUUUAUUCAAAUUUUAUUGAUUCAGUUGUUUCGGAAGGUAAUGUGCAAUGGAGGUUUACUAGUUAUUAUGGGUUUUCGAAAUCGCAACAACGUCGUCAGUUUUGGAAUCUUAUUUGACCUUUAUCUCAUAGAAACUCUUUUCCGUAGUUUUAUUCGGGAGACUUUAAUGAUUUAUACACGAGAGAUGAGAAAGAAUAAGAAUGAGAAAUAUUUUUGCCAAAUUAUUUUAUACAGAGGUUUAGACAGAUACUUGAAAAGCAUUUUCGCCAAAUUAUCUUAUGUAGGAGUUUAGACAGACACUCGAAUUUAAGUCUUUGAAAAUAAUAAUAUACUUUUAUUCAUCCGAUCAAAUCAGCUUAAGCUAAGGUGAAUUCCAUCAUAUCCUUUUAUUACAUUAACUACUUUCCAUUGCAACCUUUUAAAAACUCCCAUGCAAUUACAUGAAAUGCUAGAGUUGAAAAGGUAUGAAUUACUAUUAUUUCUUUCACUUUUAUUAUUCAUACAAAAGGUGGCUAAAUUAUAAAAUUUAGAUUAAUUUUUAUAUUUAGGCUUUUAGAAAAAGCCUAGGAACCGUUUACCAUCAAGAAUUAAUCUUUGAUGUUUUUAACAGAAGGAAUGAUUAUAGCCAUAAACCUCUUAAUUAGUUAGGGGACAUGUAGAAACUUCAUGAUAAUGAAAUCACUUAAUAUUGAUUUUUCUUAAUAGUUACUUAUAAUAUAUUCAUAUCUACUAUAAUUUUUUUUUUUUCUAAAAAAAAACGAAGGAAAGACAAUGAGAAGGGCUUAUGAUCUAACAGCCAUACAGUGAGUCUAAUACACUUCUAAUCAGUUUGACUUAAUUUUGUCUUCCGUAAUUAACAAGUAAAAUAUUUAAUAUUUGUGUAGGAAUAACGUCUAUACGUAGCAUGGUUAACAUCAUCAUAUCCAAUUGGUUGUUGAUCCACAACAACUCUCUGAUGAGACCCAUCGGCCAUGGCUAGGGUUUUACUUGUCUUAAAAAAUAAUUAAUCACUGGUUAAUUAAUCUCAUUAUUUAGUUUUCUGCAAUUCCAUGUUCUGAUAUCAUAUUAAACCAGCAAAAAAAUACAUGAACUUAAUCAUCAUUUUUUUGUAUUACCAAAAAAAUGGGUGUUAAUUGUAGCCGUUGCAUUUUAUACUUAAAGUUUUGUAUCAGAAUCCAAAAAAAAAAAACGAUCCAAUUGAUCAAGAUGCACAAUAAGGACACGGAAUCCACAAAGAAACGAUCCAAUUGAUCAAGAUGCACAAUGAGAAUCGUAUCCAUAUAAUUUUGUACUUCCCGAUAAAUAUAAUAUGUUUUAUUAUUCUAAAUGGUUAUUCUAUUUUAAGUAAUGAAGAAUUUAUUAUUCUUAAUGGGUUCAAGAAUUUCUAUAUAACUUAAGCCAUAUAAUAAAAACUUUUUUCAUUUUAUAAAUUAAUAAUAUUAAUUUAAUAACGACUAUAUUUAUCUAUGCUACCGUAACAUAAAAUAACAAUAGUAUUAACGAUUCCGAUAUAUUUUUUAAUAAAAAAAAAUACAGUUGAAAUUAUAAAUUUAUUAUAUAUAAAUAAAUUAUAUUUUAUAAUUACUGUUACGAUACUAUUGCAUAAACCUUAAACCUUAAAAUAAAAAAUAAAGUAAUGUCUUUUUAGCAAUUUUAACUACUAAUCAUCAUCAAUAAUAAUAUUUUAUGAAAUUGAAAGUGAUUUAUUCUUUGAUUACGUCUAUACGGUAUUGUAUGGUAUGUAGAAAAAGUGUAUAUAUAAUAUAAAACAUAUACAUAUUGAGAUAAUGAAAAACACAUUUGUCAGUAAAAUCUAUACGCAAACGUAUUAUAGAAACAAAGGUCUUUGUCUUGUGAUAUGUUCAUGGAUUAGUUAGAACACAUAUGUAAUAAUAAUAAUAAAAAAAAAAAGAUUAGGUAUAUAUAUAUAGUAGGGUUUGAAACGUUGUUAUACGUAGAUGAAUAAACACAAAUAGAUAAUAGAGAUUUGUAGAGAUUGAAAGAGAGGGAGAGGUUUCUGUUGAUUGAUGUAAAUCAUCUACCAUAUUGAUGUGAAGAUAAGAAGUGACUUUUGCUUGGAUGGAUCGCAAGCUAAAACUUUGAAAGUAAUAUACAAAUCAUUUUUAAAAAAGACCUUUAGGGAGGAUAUUGAAAAGGGGGAAUGAUUAUACUUAGCUUUAAGGAGGAGCAAUGGAGUGGCAAUGGGCCUACCAUUUAGGAUUUUUAAGUAGAGAAUUAGUGAGAAAAAAUAUGGGACUUUGCCUUUAAAAGCAUGGUUGGUUAAGUUAUUAAUCAUCGAUGGGUUAUCUCUACCUUAUAAUAAACUCUCUUUGCUUAAAUAUAGUCCUCAUGCUUCUCUUCCAUUGUUUCUAUUAAUAUUAUAUACAUAUUAAUGAUGGCUUUAGGCCAUAUUCAUGCCCCACCAUGAAUCUUCUCAUGGACCCUUUUGCAAACUGCAGCUCAUCCUUCUUCCUUCAUAUAUAUAAUCCUCACAUGGGUCUCUUUCCCUUCAAUAGAAGUCUCUCUUUGGCUGCAGCCCCACACCAGUGCAUUACCCUACUAGAAAUAGCAAAAACAGUCACAGAAGUAACAAGCAUAGAUGGACCCAUUUGUGAAACUUUAACAUUAUUAAAUAUUAUUUCUCUUCCGCCAAUUAAAAUAAUCUGAAUUGAUUUUUCAACACUUUUAAGAUAAACAUUUGUCUUUCUUCCGACAUUUGCUGAGUAUAAUAAAUUACUUACAACUCUCUCAAAAUUCACAUAACUACAUCUACGUCAGCUGCUGCAAAUAUGUCCAAAACCAUCUGAAUAUUCAUCAAAUAUUAACGUAAUGUGUGAGUAUCUUUCAAAAAUAUACUCGAUAACCAAAGAUAACAAGGACAUGACGUUGGGUGUCAAGCACAUGUGAGGUAAAAUCAUAACUCUUCAACUUGUUUAGACAGUGUUGGAGAGAGAGGACAAUCAUGUUUCUCCACUGUAGUGCUCUAUUCCUAUGUACCAUUUUAAGGUGGAUCAAUCUGGACAUGAACGUAGAAGAGGUCAUAUGUUUUUCAAUAUUUUGAUAGAAAAUGAUAGGAAAAGAACCUUAUUACCAUAUAUAAUCUCUCUAUAGGCCCAUUUUGUUAUUUGUUUCUGUUUGAUAGAACGAUGGAAUCAACUUCCAACCUGGCUGAGUUGGCUUUCUCUACCUGUUUGUAGCAAUUUUUUCCAAAUGGUAAUCAUUGUCAAAUUUUCCAAUAUCAAGUUUACCAGCCACUUGAUUAUUAUUAUUAUUUUUUUUUUAAUGGUAUAGAAGUAAAAAUAAAAAUGAAAUUUGCUACAACUUGACAUCUAAAUAUCUUGGCCUCUUUUGGGUUGGACCUGAAGAUAAAUGUAGGUUCACUUGCAAGGCUUGCAGAGAGACAACCCGCUUGCUUAGUGUCAAGUUUGAGACUCAGAAAAACAUUUUUCAAAAAAAAGAAAAAAAAUUAGAUGCUGAUAAAAAAUAGUUUAAGAAAUUGCGUUUCUCAACAAUAAUUCCAAAUAUACUAAUAAAGUUACUGCUAGAAGAUUACCUAAAUGGUUAAAUAGUGAAUACUCAAUUACAAUUAGAUUGAUUUGUUUUAUUAAACUUAAAUAUUCAAUUCCUAUUUUUAACAUUUAAUUAAUAUAUUUCUAUAUUUUAUAAUAUCAUACUCUUUAAUAUGUAAAAUAAAAAAUAAAAAUAAGUCUAAUUUAAUUUUUUUUAAGGGUUAAAUAAUGUCAAUUCAAAUUUUUUAGCCAAUAAAACUCUUAUGCUUUUAUUUGAGAGUCAAAUAAAUUAUAACCUAAUAUAAUAUUACUUGUUAAUGAUAUAUAUUAUUUUUUUAAUAAUAAAACAUGUUUUAUAAUAAAAUUUCAUUUCUAUAAUUUUAAAAAUUAUUUAUUGUUUCUAUGUAUUUUUUAAAAUAAUUUUAUGUUAAUUACAAUAUUAAAUUUUUGAUAUUAAAAAUUAUAAAAAAUAAUAUUUUACUUUGAAAAAUAUUAUUAUAAUAAAUCAUGACUUAUUUGGCCCUUAUACAAAAACAUAAAGAUUUUAUUGAAAAAAAAUAAAUUAACUUUGUAUAAAAUUGAAUUGAAUUUGUAUAAAAUUCUUAAUUUCAAAUAAAAAAUAGAAAAUUAAAUAAAUCUAAUUAAAUUGAAUUGAAAUAAAUUAGUUGUAUUUGAUACACCAAUCUCUAUUUCCUAAUCAACACAAUAUAUAUCCCAGUAAAAAGGUAUUUAUUCAAUUAAAAUCUUCAUUAAUCAAAAUAAAACAAAAGCAAAUCCUAAACGUUCAGUAAUAAACAAACCGCAAUAAAGAAUCAAACUGCAGAGAUCAAUAAUGGAUAAAUCUUUUCCAUUGAACACCAUUGAGUUUCUCAAAAUUUUACUCUAUUGAUUCAUUUUAGUUUAAUUUCACUUAAGUAUUUGUUUUAUAUAGGAGAAUUGAAUUCUCAAUCUUACGUAAAAGAGAAAAAUAUCGAUUUAUUUAUUUUAAUUUUAAUUUUUUUUUUCUAGUUUGGCCUCUGGCAAAACCCUUCUGAAUCCCUUCCUUUAACAGACCAUACAUAUCAGAACCUCAACUUCAGGCCCAUCUCCAUCCCGCAUCCCAUUUCUCAACUCCGCAGUUUCAUCACACUCAGUUCUUCACAUCUGGGUUCAACUCGCUGAUGGCAUAUGCUAAUCUCUCUUUGAAAAUGUUUUCUUUUUUUUUUUAAUCAAACCAUUGUUUCAAAUUCAAUCUGAAAUUUGAAUACAUAUGUUAAAUUUUGCAAAACUCAGGAUUUAUAAAAUCCCAAUCAAUUUCUGAUAAAUAACUGAUGAAUCUAAAACAAGUGACAGAAAGUUUGCAGUAAGCAGUGAGUUCAUGAUAGACAAGAAAGAGAGUCUGAAGGAGGAAAAAUUUUACAGUACAAAGGUGAUUUUAUGUAGGCUAUAGUGCUCUUAAAAUGGGCUGUGCGGCCCAACUUGUGCAGACUCGAUUCUAAAACGACUCGAACUAAAAAAUUCACAAAAAAUAAAAUUUGAAUAUUUAAAUUUGGUUCGCAGUAGAUUUCUGGAUGGAUACAGACAAUCUAUUUUCAAUAAUAUAACUUUAUCACGUUUUAUUUUCAUAACUAAUGAGUGUCAAAUAGUGAUGAGAUUUCAUACGAAUAAGUAGGGGUGAGGUGUUUGUGAUUGUUCCAGAAGAAAUGAAACAAAAAAUAGGGUGUUCGGUUUUUUAUACAUUUCGGUUUGGUUC